CGGGUGAGUAAGCGUGGGUAACCUGCCUUGUACAGGGGGAUAACAGUUGGAAACGGCUGCUAAUACCGCAUAAGCGCACAGCAUCGCAUGAUGCAGUGUGAAAAACUCCGGUGGUAUAAGAUGGACCCGCGUUGGAUUAGCUAGUUGGUGAGGUAACGGCCCACCAAGGCGACGAUCCAUAGCCGACCUGAGAGGGUGACCGGCCACAUUGGGACUGAGACACGGCCCAA
This 230-nucleotide ribosomal RNA is filed under the name uncultured bacterium. RNAcentral describes it as "partial 16S ribosomal RNA". It matches the Rfam family "Bacterial small subunit ribosomal RNA", at positions 103 to 334 of the family's 1533-position model. The record is from RNAcentral.